Molecule: long non-coding RNA, 3534 nt
Filed under: Panax ginseng (ginseng)
Lineage: Eukaryota; Viridiplantae; Streptophyta; Magnoliopsida; Apiales; Araliaceae
Description: long non-coding RNA (PGIN_LNC011521)
Source: RNAcentral
AAAUUUGCGCUCUAAGUAUGUCUUUGCAGCUUGUGAGCGAGACCCAAUUGCGAAAGCUUGAUACUCAAAGUAGUUGCCACUUGGACAGUUGUAAUAGAGGUGGGCUCCAGAUUCAUCCAAACCACCUACCAGCAGACCAACACCAUAAGGCCUUUUCCAUGAGCGCUGAGUACAAAUCUGCCAAUGUUUUAAAUGAAAAGAGGAUGAGUGGCUCAAGGAGUAAAAGCGAAAAACCAGCAGCCCCUUCUCCAUGUAUUAAUGCACGAAAAUGUUACCCACUAGAGACUAAAUAAAAUAAAGAAAACGUAUGCCGAGUUGAGAAACACAAAAUUGAUCUCUAGGUAGACCCCAUAUAUCAUGGGUUCCCAUAGAGAAACAAUAUAAGCUAUAGUGGUUCUGCUGAAACAAUGACAAAGAUCCCAUUGAAGUCAGGUAGAAAUUUAACAGUCAGAAGUCUAAAGCUCUUAGACAUACCAAGUACAAGUCGAGUAACAGACAGUUAAUUUAAGAGGCUGAAUUUUCCAUGAUAAAUGACUAUCACGCCCAUGAGAUAGGAUUUCCCACUAUUAGCAUUUGGUUUCAAGAAGAGUUCAAACACAUGCAGCACUCAUCAUAUAAUACAAACUGAUUUCAUUUCCUUGGUCGAACUUUUACCAACUCCCAGGAGAAGGGGCGCGAUAUUCUUGGAGUAAGUAGAUUAUGGAAACACAGAGUCCAUUAGAAUUCAGGUCCAAAUAUAGAUCAACAGGCAAUAUGCAGUUCUGUUUACAUCUUAAAUUAAGAUUCUAGUCCAAACAAUGGGAAAAGUCAGAAGGCUAAUUUUUAGUUUAUUUUGUAUAGUAAAUCUAAAAUUGCUUAAAACGCCAAUAACAAAUUAUUAAUUAUAUAAUUGCUGUAAUUAUACUUCCUUAUGUAGAUGAUCUCAGAAGUUACAAAUUGGGAGUAAAGUUAUGAAAACAAAUAAAAUGCUUCAAUUAGGUUAAACAUAAAGAAAUCAUAUUUUAUUGGUGGAUUAAAUUCUUGAGCACAUCCUCCAAAAAGGACAGUUUUAGAACUCUACGAUUUAGAAAUUUAAAAAUAUCUAAACCUUGAGGUAAUGCAUCCUAGAUUCACAUAGCAAGCUGGUUUCACGCUAGAGAAGGUAAAAUAACAACAAUGAACUAAAGCUAAAAUGUCAGCCGUCUGAGCAUUAAUGCAUUAAGAAAAUAAGUGUUCUAAAAAUCCCUACCUAGGCGCUAGGUGGUUCUCUACCGCUUCGAUAUGGCUGGAUGCCUAGGCCCCCUAGGCAAAAUCGAGGUUCCACUAUAACUUAAAUGAAUUUGUUAAGCCUUAAAAUAAAUUUAAUAAUUUUUUUUGACAAUGUUUCAUGUAAAAUUUAAAAAUUAAAUCUACUAUAUGUUUUUUUAUAGUAUAAUAAGUAUGUACAAUAGAAAAAUAAAUAAAUGAGAGCGCCUAAGAAAACGCUUAGUCCACUUAGGAAAACACUAGGCGCUAGGCACCACCUCCGCUGUCUUUAGGUUCGCCUAACGAUUUUUAGAACACUGAAGAAAUUAACUCCACCGAGAAAAUGUUCAUCUUAAAAACAAUCUCUUUUCUUUAGAAGUUGUAUCAAAAACAUUCUUAUUUAGGUGACCCUCCUGCUUGCGCUAAAUUAUUGCUUAUGCACUUAAGUCAUCAUUCUGUGCUUCCAGAAUACUAAUAUGGCUAUGAAUUACAUGUGGUCGUAAAUCUAAUAAACUAACCAAAACUUAAAUGCCAUGUAUAUGUAAUUCAAAGCACAAAUGUCUCAAUUUAAUCUAUUUGACAAUCUUUAUAAUCCCUUUUUUCUGUGAGAACUCACCUUACAGAGACUUGCACUAUCUUGACAUACCCUCAACUUACGUGUGUCCACAACACUACCAAAGAAAAGUUGCAUGUUGGAUAAAAGGCAAGCCAAACACAAUAUAUAUCAAAAGAACAGCUUUUAGUAGCACCUAGUUGAGUGCCAUGGUUCCAAAUAUCAAGAAGAGUCCAUCUUAUACUUUGACUUGUGAAAUAAAGGUAAAUGCCUUGCUGCAUCAGUCCCAAACUAUAAGCAGACAGUAAUAAAAUCCUUUCUUUUUCUUUUAUUUUUUAAGUAACUUGAGGAAGGGCACCCAUAAAGCCAUAACUACAGAAUUUUUUUAUUCUCUAACCCUUAGAGAGGAGAACAUAUCCUAUGCUUUCACUACUGAAGGACUUAGGGUUAUAUUAGCUAUAAUCCAGCUUUCGUAGACAUAUAAUCUCACCAUGGAAUGGAUUGAAAUAGUAAGCAAAAAUGGAGAGAUAAAUUGUAAGCCUUUUCCUACAUAUAAAUAUGUUCCAGUUGGAUACAUCAGUCGAUGGCAGAGGAGGAAAAGCAUAGUUUGGUUAGAUGGGAUGGAGUGUGCUCACUGUAAAUACUGGAGAAGUUGAAGCAUAACGGAGCUCAGAUAUAACCAACUUGUUUAGGACAAUGAUUUUGGUAUGGGAAGUAUGUUAACAUUUCUACAAUAAUUGUGUCUGGAAGAAGCACAACAAUCAGCCUAACAUGGCAGGAGAAAAACAGCAUUUUAAAAUUUGUAACUGCAGAUGCAAAUUCACUGCUAUGCUCACACUUAACAAAAGCAUCAGUAUAAUAAGAAAACUAGAACCCACAACAGAUUUCAUAAGAUAGUAUAACUAAUUUCAGAGAUAUAUACAGCUCAGAACUAUUCAUAUAAUAUGCACUUGUAGGAGUGGGAAUUUUGGACUACACACACAUGUUUAAUCAAAACCACCUGACUGAUGAAAUUUACGCUUCUCACUACAUACAAAAUAUUAACAAGAGGUGAAGGAUGACGUUUCGCUGGGUUUCAGAUUGAAAUUUUGUAACUUUAUAAAGCAAAACAUUUGAAUUUAGUGGACAUGCCAUUAUAAAAGCAAAUAUAUAUUAAAGCCUCACAAAUCAUUUUAGUCAUUUGACAAAAGAAUUAUUACAAAACCAGAAGUGCAUCUGCGGCUAUAAAUUUAACCACGUGGAGAAUUGUGAUAACUAUGAAUGUACUACAGUAGGCCUAAAUUUUUUUGCAACUUCUUAAACCGAAGAAAGAAAUUAAUUUUUUUGGUAUAAAAAAGAAAUUAAUUCCAGCUGUCCACGCAAAUGAUCGAACAGAGGCAAAGAAGUUUACUCUAAAACCUUGAUUUCACGAUCUAACAACAAUAUUGCCCCCAAUCCAAUUUUAAAUAAGAAUAGAACAUACAAGUGAAUCGGUCUCCUUAAAGAGGGAAUUUCCUAAAACUAAACCAUAACCCCUUAGCUUGUAUGACCGAAGGACACAAAUUCCACAAGACCACAUUCACAUCACACAAUAAACACUUGAAUUUCCACACGUGUAUGUAAACAAGGGUUUAUUAAAAGAGUGAACCUGGGCCUUGUCGGCGAGCUGAACAACGAGGCGACCAACGGGGAGAGGAGACUCGUAGGAGUAGCUGUAAUUAAUACACUCGGAUCUCAUGUAACGAGAGAGGACUCGGCCGUCGGCGGUGAGUCCGGCG